Molecule: long non-coding RNA, 513 nt
Filed under: Linum usitatissimum (flax)
Lineage: Eukaryota; Viridiplantae; Streptophyta; Magnoliopsida; Malpighiales; Linaceae
Description: long non-coding RNA (LUSI_LNC001759)
Source: RNAcentral
CUGUCACCAGCUACACAAGAGUAUCCCUGCAAAACUUUCUUAAGAUUUCUUUCUCACUGUCAGCUGUAAGUUAUACAAGAGAAGUUGAGAUCUGAAGCAAUGGCAAUCGAGGGCCAACACCAAUGCUUGUCGUACAACAAGGCAACAAACCUUGGGGAUUCUACUUGAAAGCUUCCCUAGCUUGGUUGGCUUAAAUGAUUUCCCGAUCAGUGCAGGAUCUGCAGCCGGAGAAUACAGACACUCGGCAGAAGCUCAAACUUAAAGGGCCGAGCUUUAUCUGCAAGGAAGCCAUUCGGUUCAACUUGGCGAUAACAUCCACAACAUUCAGUGGCCAAGACAUUUGAACCAGGCAGGCAGAUCAAUAACAACUCUGAGGUAACGAAAUCUUGAACAGAAUGCUUCAAUCUUCAAACGAAUGCAUGCAGAUUCUCUCUAACAGCAAUGGCCAAUCUUCACCUAGUUGCUGUGGAUUUAAUUCCAUGGCUACUUUGAAAUCGAGCAAAGAUAUUGAAC